UGCUUGCUUUCAUUAACUCUUACCUCUACCAGAAACCAAGCAGCUAUGAUGCCCAAUCACAAUUUCUAUGACCACUUUCUUAUCUUGUCAACUCUCUGAGAGUUCUGAGUAGCAUUUCUCAUUUCUUGCUUUUCAGUACCCACCCCUCGAACAUACUUCCUCAGUGUACCUCAGCCUCCCAUCAAGCAAAAAAUCAAAAUUCCAGUUUAUGGCAAGAGCAGAAUAAAUGCAGCAGUCUCCUCUUCUCCAUCAUUUUCUGACUUUUCCCAAGUUAUCGUACCAGCACAAUGCCUUCUACUCCCAAAUCACAGCAAGAUAUUAAUAACCCUUAGUAGAAAGAUUCCUUAUUAGGUCACACAGAGUCAUUAUGGCUUAAUAGCUGUCACCCUCCCAAGCUAACCUGUGCAACAGGUGUGGAAAGUAAACUUAGAGGCUCACUUGGCAACCCCACAAAUAGGGCUUCACAGCUCUCCCCCCAAUGCUCCCAAUGGCCUCUGGUCCCCAGCAUAUGAGCCCCUGCCCCUGUAGACCUAGGGAGAAGCCCUUCUCAGCUCAGCUCACCUGUUUGUAGGCAUCGAGGAGGAAGCUCUUCCAGACGCAGCGCAGUCCCUCUGAGGUCAGCAUGCGCCGCCACUCUCCGCGAGUGGACUUGGAGCGGCUCAACAGCAGCACCACGUGCUUGAGCAGAAUGACCGAGUCAUAGAGAGCCAGGAAGAGGCAGUUGGAGAAAAAAACUGGCAGAAUUUGCAGUGUGAUCAGCAAGUCUACGCUGAGGAUGCCCAUCUUCUCUGCCUCCUGAGUCAGUUCCCUUGUCCCUAAUCCAGUUACCUCUGUCAGAGUCCGUUAAAGACAGGCAGUUCUACUUUCAUUUCCAAGCACCUAUGAGACUGUCCCAGCAUAAAGACAUGGGAUAUGUGAGAAAAGGAAUAGGAAAAAGCCAAAGAGACACCGGCUUACAUUAGAAAAUCUACUCAAAAUCACUCAA
RNAcentral lists this long non-coding RNA (985 nucleotides) under Homo sapiens (human). RNAcentral describes it as "HSALNT0213653". Lineage: Eukaryota; Metazoa; Chordata; Mammalia; Primates; Hominidae. The record is from RNAcentral.